This 386-nucleotide ribosomal RNA is filed under the name Streptococcus oralis. RNAcentral's name for it is "bacterial SSU rRNA". It matches the Rfam family "Bacterial small subunit ribosomal RNA", at positions 1 to 377 of the family's 1533-position model. Lineage: Bacteria; Bacillati; Bacillota; Bacilli; Lactobacillales; Streptococcaceae. The record is from RNAcentral.
UUUAAUGAGAGUUUGAUCCUGGCUCAGGACGAACGCUGGCGGCGUGCCUAAUACAUGCAAGUAGAACGCUGAAGCUUGGUGCUUGCACCGAGCGGAAGAGUUGCGAACGGGUGAGUAACGCGUAGGUAACCUGCCUGGUAGCGGGGGAUAACUAUUGGAAACGAUAGCUAAUACCGCAUAAAAUUGAUUAUCGCAUGACAAUCAAUUGAAAGGUGCAAAUGCAUCACUACCAGAUGGACCUGCGUUGUAUUAGCUAGUUGGUGGGGUAACGGCUCACCAAGGCGACGAUACAUAGCCGACCUGAGAGGGUGAUCGGCCACACUGGGACUGAGACACGGCCCAGACUCCUACGGGAGGCAGCAGUAGGGAAUCUUCGGCAAUGGACG